RNAcentral lists this ribosomal RNA (253 nucleotides) under uncultured bacterium. RNAcentral's name for it is "partial 16S ribosomal RNA". It matches the Rfam family "Bacterial small subunit ribosomal RNA", at positions 524 to 776 of the family's 1533-position model. The record is from RNAcentral.
UACAGAGGUCUCAAGCGUUGUUCGGAUUCAUUGGGCGUAAAGGGUGCGUAGGUGGCGCUGUAAGUCGGGUGUGAAAUUUCGGAGCUUAACUCCGAAACUGCAUUCGAUACUGCGGUGCUUGAGGACUGGAGAGGAGACUGGAAUUCAUGGUGUAGCAGUGAAAUGCGUAGAGAUCAUGAGGAAGACCAGUGGCGAAGGCGGGUCUCUGGACAGUUCCUGACGCUGAGGUGCGAAAGCGUGGGGAGCAAACGGG